GACGAACGCUGGCGGCGUGCUUAACACAUGCAAGUCGAACGGAAAGGCCCUGCUUUUGUGGGGUGCUCGAGUGGCGAACGGGUGAGUAACACGUGAGUAACCUGCCCUUGACUUUGGGAUAACUUCGGGAAACUGGGGCUAAUACCGGAUAGGAGCUCCUGCUGCAUGGUGGGGGUUGGAAAGUUUCGGCGGUUGGGGAUGGACUCGCGGCUUAUCAGCUUGUUGGUGGGGUAGUGGCUUACCAAGGCUUUGACGGGUAGCCGGCCUGAGAGGGUGACCGGCCACAUUAGGACUGAGAUACGGCCCAGACUCCUACGGGAGGCAGCAGUGGGGAAUAUUGCACAAUGGGCGGAAGCCUGAUGCAGCAACGCCGCGUGCGGGAUGACGGCCUUCGGGUUGUAAACCGCUUUCGCCUGGGACGAAGCGUGAGUGACGGUAAUGGGUGAAGAAGCACCGGCUAACUACGUG
Molecule: ribosomal RNA, 468 nt
Filed under: uncultured bacterium
Lineage: Bacteria
Description: partial 16S ribosomal RNA
Rfam family: Bacterial small subunit ribosomal RNA
Source: RNAcentral